This is an RNA transcript of Nomascus leucogenys (northern white-cheeked gibbon), 828 nucleotides long. It is a transcript of the gene named mitochondrial cardiolipin hydrolase-like, with no coding region annotated. Lineage: Eukaryota; Metazoa; Chordata; Mammalia; Primates; Hylobatidae. The transcript is spliced from 2 exons. The record is from RefSeq and is a predicted model, not a curated record.
UCCGGGGCUGGGGGCGCGCAGACUCGGCUGCGGCGGCGUGGCCCUGGGGCCCGGGUCAGCGGCGGCAUGGGGCGAUUGAGCUGGCAGGUGGCGGCCGCGGCGGCUGUGGGCCUGGCUCUGGCUCUGGAGGCGCUGCCCUGGGUGCUGCGCUGGCUGCGGUCCAGGCGGCGGCGGCCGCGGCGCGAGGUGCUGUUCUUCCCGUCUCAGGUGACCUGUACCGAGGCCCUGCUGCGGGCUCCGGGCGCGGCGCUGGCCGGGCUCCCCGAGGGCUGCCCGUGCGGCCUGCCCCACGGCGAGAGCGCGCUAAGCCGCCUGCUGCGUGCCCUGCUGGCCGCCCGCGCCAGCCUGGAGCUCUGCCUGUUCGCCUUCUCCAGCCCGUAGCUGGGCCGCGCCGUGCAGUUGCUGCACCAGCGUGGGGUGCGAGUGCGGGUCGUCACCGACUGCGACUACAGGGCCCUCAACGGCUCUCAGAUCGGCCUGCUGCGCAAGGCAGGGAUCCAGGUCCGGCACGAUCAAGACCUGGGCUACAUGCAUCACAAGUUUGCCAUUGUGAACAAGAGGGUGCUCAUCACUGGCUCGCUCAACUGGACCACACAAGCCAUCCAGAACAACAGGGAGAAUGUUCUCAUCAUGGAGGAUGACGAGUACGUGCGGCUUUUUCUGAAAGAAUUUGAGCGCAUCUGGGAAGAGUUUAACCCUAAAAAGUAUACCUUUUUCCCACAGAAAAGGAAAAGCCACUGAAGCUGUGCCCCACUUGUCUCCAGAGCUGGAGGGAGAUUGCUUUCAUGGCACAGAACUUGCAGCACCUCCAGCCAAAACCAAACCUAA